This 669-nucleotide ribosomal RNA is filed under the name Bacillus subtilis. Its description in RNAcentral is "bacterial SSU rRNA". It matches the Rfam family "Bacterial small subunit ribosomal RNA", at positions 556 to 1226 of the family's 1533-position model. The record is from RNAcentral. Lineage: Bacteria; Bacillati; Bacillota; Bacilli; Caryophanales; Bacillaceae.
GGGCGUAAGGGCUCGCAGGCGGUUUCUUAAGUCUGAUGUGAAAGCCCCCGGCUCAACCGGGGAGGGUCAUUGGAAACUGGGAAACUUGAGUGCAGAAGAGGAGAGUGGAAUUCCACGUGUAGCGGUGAAAUGCGUAGAGAUGUGGAGGAACACCAGUGGCGAAGGCGACUCUCUGGUCUGUAACUGACGCUGAGGAGCGAAAGCGUGGGGAGCGAACAGGAUUAGAUACCCUGGUAGUCCACGCCGUAAACGAUGAGUGCUAAGUGUUAGGGGGUUUCCGCCCCUUAGUGCUGCAGCUAACGCAUUAAGCACUCCGCCUGGGGAGUACGGUCGCAAGACUGAAACUCAAAGGAAUUGACGGGGGCCCGCACAAGCGGUGGAGCAUGUGGUUUAAUUCGAAGCAACGCGAAGAACCUUACCAGGUCUUGACAUCCUCUGACAACCCUAGAGAUAGGGCUUUCCCUUCGGGGACAGAGUGACAGGUGGUGCAUGGUUGUCGUCAGCUCGUGUCGUGAGAUGUUGGGUUAAGUCCCGCAACGAGCGCAACCCUUGAUCUUAGUUGCCAGCAUUCAGUUGGGCACUCUAAGGUGACUGCCGGUGACAAACCGGAGGAAGGUGGGGAUGACGUCAAAUCAUCAUGCCCCUUAUGACCUGGGCUACACACGUGCU